This 84-nucleotide transfer RNA is filed under the name Felis catus (domestic cat). It matches the Rfam family "tRNA". Rfam says of the family: Transfer RNA (tRNA) molecules are approximately 80 nucleotides in length. Their secondary structure includes four short double-helical elements and three loops (D, anti-codon, and T loops). Lineage: Eukaryota; Metazoa; Chordata; Mammalia; Carnivora; Felidae. The record is from Rfam by way of RNAcentral.
GCCUGGAUGGCUCAGUUGAUUGAGCAUCUGACUUCAGCUCAGGUCAUGAUCUGUGGUUUGUGAGUUCAAGCCCCGCACUGGGCU